Priapulus caudatus is the source of this 634-nucleotide long non-coding RNA. RefSeq lists it as uncharacterized. The transcript has 2 exons. Lineage: Eukaryota; Metazoa; Priapulida; Priapulimorpha; Priapulimorphida; Priapulidae. The record is from RefSeq and is a predicted model, not a curated record.
CGAAUUUCCUCCUGCGAUUCACAGGUGGCGACACUGUUGCUGACUGCAGUGACGUCAGCGGCGCCGGCAGACGAAGCAGGCAAGGUCGCGGUGAGAGUGAAGCGCCACGUGCUUGGGACGGAUUUCUGCCACAUCGUAGAUCACAUAGAGGAGUUCCUGCACUGCCCUUGCUACGGCAGACGCAAGCGAAAUGCUGGCGGUUCGAUAUGCACAAAAUUGUGCAACUACUUAAUGGCAAACUGCGGCUAUACCCCCACUUAAAACAGAUGAGAAAGGCCCAUCGACACACGCCUAAAGUGUCGCUACACUAAUACAGCCAAGGCCGAAUUCAACUAGUGCUGGGCCUGGAGUAUAAUGUGUUAAGUAAAUCUAACACAUUUCUAAUGGAUUUACCUACUGACAAAUAGACUAAUGUCAGCACUCAUUAUUGUAUCAGGUUUAAGUGUAUACUAAAAAUAAACAUGCGUUUGUUUUUGACUUUCGGGACUGGAACAAAUUUUCGAGAUCUAGCCUUACUAUUUAUUUUCUAGACUAUUUAUCUAGACAUACUGUUAAUUGUGUGUGAAGCAAUUUACUAAACUGUAAAUGUGUUUGUUUUGACGUUCAGAAUUGAAAUAAAUUUUCGUGAUCUAGA